UACGUAGGGUGCGAGCGUUGUCCGGAAUUAUUGGGCGUAAAGAGCUUGUAGGCGGUUUGUCGCGUCUGCUGUGAAAAUCCGGGGCUCAACCCCGGACUUGCAGUGGGUACGGGCAGACUAGAGUGUGGUAGGGGAGACUGGAAUUCCUAGUGUAGCGGUGAAAUGCGCAGAUAUCAGGAGGAACACCGAUGGCGAAGGCAGGUCUCUGGGCCACUACUGACGCUGAGAAGCGAAAGCAUGGGGAGCGAACAGG
RNAcentral lists this ribosomal RNA (253 nucleotides) under uncultured bacterium. RNAcentral's name for it is "partial 16S ribosomal RNA". It matches the Rfam family "Bacterial small subunit ribosomal RNA", at positions 524 to 776 of the family's 1533-position model. The record is from RNAcentral.